Motacilla alba alba is the source of this 2828-nucleotide long non-coding RNA. RefSeq lists it as uncharacterized. The record is from RefSeq and is a predicted model, not a curated record. The transcript is spliced from 3 exons. Lineage: Eukaryota; Metazoa; Chordata; Aves; Passeriformes; Motacillidae.
CUCCCCUUCAGAGAAGGUUGUGUCCUUGCUGCUCUUUACUUUCUCCCUCAAUAAACCUCUCUGGAUCAAGCAAGCAAGAAGUCCUCCUGCUCUUCAUUCUGUGAAAAUCCACAACUCAUGAAUCACAUUUUCCAUCGUGAAAAACUUUUCGAAAACAUGAGCUGCUCAACCAAAACUCAUCUUGUUUGACCAUUCCCAGAAGCGAGUGAUGCAGAAGAAGCUGAGCUACCUUGAGCUUCAAAUCCACAGCCAGUCCAAUUUUGUCAUUGUGUACAAAUCACGGAGCUGCAGUGGGGUGUAAUCCAAGCAGGCAUUGCUCCCAGCCCUUCCAGCUCACCCAGCAGAAAGCUGUGUUUGCAUCCAGCAUGCUCAGGCCUGGCUGGGUGGGCAGAGGCAGCAGCAGUCAGGCUGCAAACUCCUCUGACGGAUCAGACAAAAUAGGAGCAAUGCUUUCCAGAAGAAGGACAAUAUUUGAGAUCAUCUACUUUGCAGUGGAACAAGAGAGCAGAAGCGGAGAAGACAGCAGGAAAACUGAGGCACAGCAGAAGCCACACAACUUGUCAAAGACACAGAAGAGUCACUUGGGAGCCACAGUUCAAAUUCCUGAGGACAUAACUUCUGGAGAUGCUCUCUGCUGGCUGGAGCAUGCCAAGGAGAAGCUGUUGCAUCUGUACACACCUUCAGCAGGGUGUGAUUUAUGUUCCAGGGUGUGGGAAUAACCUCUGGAUUUUAGCAGCUCUACAGUGACCCCAGUCCCACAGGUCUGUCUGUCCUGUCUAACCCUGUUGCCCCAGCAGCCUGUGCCAAUGAGGGGAUGAGACCCCCAGGCACUGACUUGGGUUGGGGGGAGCUGUUUGCCUGGGCAUGGGAACCACCCUUUUCAGUCCCUGGGGGCUCAUUUCACGUGCAUUUUUCAAUUUGCUGUGCCCAGUCUGCCUUUUCCCAGGUUAGACACUGAGUUCUGCCCCAUCUGUGUGGUACCUGUGACCAUCCUGCUGUUUGUGGAGACUGGAAGAGCUGGACACACCAAGAUUUUAGAGGUGGGAAGGAGUCUGAUAGAUCCAUGAGUCCUUGACAGGUUUCCCUGAAGAUAAUUUGGAUUAAGAAGGGAGGGAAGAACUGGGGCUGCCUGGAGACCCAGAGAUGUCCACACAAGCUCCUUGAACAAUCUCAGACUGAGGCAGAGGAACUGUUAGGACAUCAAACUUCUCAGACCCACUUUCCACCUGUAACAGAGCCCCUGAGGGUGGCUGAAGGGUGGAGCUCCCAUCCCUCUCUCCAAACUUAGUGUGCAGCUUCAUGACCCAUCUGGCUGCUAUCCAGAAAGGAGGUUUUGGGAUUCCCAUUCUGAGCCCCUGAAGCCUUUUCAUCUGCCUUUAAAUAGAACAGGGCUUUGAGGGAAACUGGAACUGGAACAAAGCUCCUUCCCCACUGUGGGGCCAGCGGGGUCGAUGAAGAAGCAGCUGAGGGUGAAAUCAAUUAAUUCAUUCAUUACAGAGCUACUGCAGUCACAAAGAUAUUUCAAUUGUGCUUGCUGAGAGGUCCUCAUGAGAGAUACAUCUCAUUUUCAGAGAGGUUCCCAAGGGGAGGGCAUCGUCAGACAAUUUCAUUCCUGCUGACUAGAGGGUAACAGACAUUCUAAGGAAAACGUACCCUCUUGUCACCUCAAAUUUCACUCCAGAACAAGCAAGAGUUUGAGGGAAAUCAGAUCCCACUUUAAUCUAGGGAGAUUUGUAAAAGAAAACCACAAAAACUUGGGGAGAUAGGACAUGGUGAAUGCUAUUUUCAAGGUUUAGAGAACAAGAAAGUAAGGCAGAGAAGUUUGCUGUCAGACUUCUGUUGCUGGGCAGGACUUCUGAGAUAGCUCAACACUCACAGGGAAACCCUCCAAGCCCCUGGAUCAUGAUUCCACCAGAAACCAAAUGCUCUGGGCUGUAGCCUUCUGCCCCAAAUUCCUCCUGCUGCCUUGGGGGCACAUCCUGCAGCUGUAUUUGAGUCCAUGCCCAUUGUAGCCCUUCCUGUGCUUCACACAGCCCUGUACUGUCUGAUCUUGUAAGGGAAAUUUAAUGAUUUUAAAUAUAAAUUUAGGUCAUUUAAAAAAGACUGUGAGGUCUGAUCACUUAACAGCUCUUAUAACAAGGUAUGGCACUUUUUCCAUGCACUUUUGUGCCCCAAACCAGAGAACAGGAUGUCAGUUGCUUAAUCACAGUCGUGAUUUCAAACCCUUUGCUCCUUACAGAGAGAUUUUUCAAGAGUCCUACAAUCAGUAUCUCAAAAUCUUCUGAAGAUACAGCUAUUUAUUGCAGGGUUUGGCUGGGUAAUGUUUCAGAGAAAAAAAUGUCAUCCUGUCUGGAUAUUCCAUGUUAGCAAGAGAGAAAAUGCACCUGCUGGCAGAUGAAUAGACAAAAAAAGAGCCUGCAAUUCUGGAGAAAAAACAGAGCUUUUCAAUCAUUUCUAUGUACCUGACAGCAAAGUUCACCUGCAAAGCAAGGGCACAGUCUAAACACCUACAGCAUAAUCCAAAAACACUGAAGGGAGCAGGGCUAUGGGAUAAGAAAGCAUAAAGUGCUGAUGAAUUUAGUCCCGUCCUUUAAUAUAGUGAGGAUACAGAUGGCACAAGCAGGCUGGGAUUCCCAGGCUGGGCUGAAACCAUGAGAGGAGCAGUGGAUCACAGGAGGGAAAGGCUGAAAUCCAUGGAAGGGUCAGUGACAGCAAUGGAGCAAAGUCAUAACUGCUUUUCCUUGCUUGUCUUUCCAAACAGGGAUCAUUCACAAAGUGGAAUCAGCUUUCUCAGCUUGGAGGAAGGAGGGAUGGAUGGAUGAAGGGAU